UGGGGAAUAUUGCACAAUGGGCGGAAGCCUGAUGCAGCAACGCCGCGUGAGGGAUGACGGCCUUCGGGUUGUAAACCUCUUUUAGCAGGGAAGAAGCGAGAGUGACGGUACCUGCAGAAAAAGCGCCGGCUAACUACGUGCCAGCAGCCGCGGUAAUACGUAGGGCGCAAGCGUUAUCCGGAAUUAUUGGGCGUAAAGAGCUCGUAGGCGGUUUGUCGCGUCUGCUGUGAAAUCCCGAGGCUCAACCUCGGGCCUGCAGUGGGUACGGGCAGACUAGAGUGCGGUAGGGGAGAUUGGAAUUCCUGGUGUAGCGGUGGAAUGCGCAGAUAUCAGGAGGAACACCGAUGGCGAAGGCAGAUCUCUGGGCCGUAACUGACGCUGAGGAGCGAAAGGGUGGGGAGCAAACAGGCUUAGAUACCCUGGUAGUCCACCCGUAAACGUUGGGAACUAGUUGUGGGGUCCAUUCCACGGAUUCCGUGACGCAGCUAACGCAUUAAGUUCCCCGCCU
RNAcentral lists this ribosomal RNA (508 nucleotides) under uncultured bacterium. RNAcentral's name for it is "partial 16S ribosomal RNA". It matches the Rfam family "Bacterial small subunit ribosomal RNA", at positions 355 to 874 of the family's 1533-position model. The record is from RNAcentral.